GCCGCGGUAGCUCAAUGGCAGAGCAUUUCCCUGAAGAGGAAAGGGUUGUCAGUUCGAUUCUGACCCGCGGCA
This 72-nucleotide transfer RNA is filed under the name Candidatus Jorgensenbacteria bacterium. RNAcentral describes it as "tRNA-Phe". It matches the Rfam family "tRNA". From Rfam's summary of the family: Transfer RNA (tRNA) molecules are approximately 80 nucleotides in length. Their secondary structure includes four short double-helical elements and three loops (D, anti-codon, and T loops). Further hydrogen bonds mediate the characteristic L-shaped molecular structure. tRNAs have two regions of fundamental functional importance: the anti-codon, which is responsible for specific mRNA codon recognition, and the 3' end, to which the tRNAs corresponding amino acid is attached (by aminoacyl-tRNA synthetases). tRNAs cope with the degeneracy of the genetic code in two manners: having more than one tRNA (with a specific anti-codon) for a particular amino acid; and 'wobble' base-pairing, i.e. permitting non-standard base-pairing at the 3rd anti-codon position. The record is from RNAcentral. Lineage: Bacteria; Candidatus Joergenseniibacteriota.